GACGAACGCUGGCGGCGUGCUUAACACAUGCAAGUCGAACGGAAAGGCCCUGCUUUUGUGGGGUGCUCGAGUGGCGAACGGGUGAGUAACACGUGAGUAAUCUGCCCUUGACUUUGGGAUAACUUCAGGAAACUGGGGCUAAUACCGGAUUGGUGCUCCUGCUGCAUGUUGGGGGUUGGAAAGCUUCGGCGGUUGGGGAUGGACUCUCGGCUUAUCAGCUUGUUGGUGGGGUAGUGGCUUACCAAGGCUGUGACGGGUAGCCGGCCUGAGAGGGUGACCGGCCACAUUGGGAAUGAGAUACCGCCCAGACUCCUACGGGAGGGAGCAGUGGGGAAUAUUGCACAAUGGGCGGAAGCCUGAUGCAGCGACGCCGCGUGCGGGAUAACGGCCUUCGGGUUGUAAACCGCUUUCGCCUGUGACGAAGCGUGAGUGACGGUAAUGGGUAAAGAAGCACCGGCUAACUACGUG
This 468-nucleotide ribosomal RNA is filed under the name uncultured bacterium. RNAcentral describes it as "partial 16S ribosomal RNA". It matches the Rfam family "Bacterial small subunit ribosomal RNA", at positions 28 to 507 of the family's 1533-position model. The record is from RNAcentral.